Molecule: non-coding RNA, 120 nt
Organism: Xylariaceae sp. FL0594
Lineage: Eukaryota; Fungi; Ascomycota; Sordariomycetes; Xylariales; Xylariaceae
Source: the annotation of a GenBank genome assembly
GGGCUUGUGGUUUAGUGGUAUAAUACUCCCUUAGCAUCUCUAGCAUCUUCUUCUCUAUCUUGAAGAAGAAGAGAAAGGCAAACUUGGGAGUGGUCCGGGGUUCGAUUCCCCGCGAGUCCA